This 29420-nucleotide long non-coding RNA is filed under the name Physcomitrium patens. Its description in RNAcentral is "long non-coding RNA (PPAT_LNC008512)". Lineage: Eukaryota; Viridiplantae; Streptophyta; Bryopsida; Funariales; Funariaceae. The record is from RNAcentral.
UAUGAGGCGGGUUCGUCUGCUUACAUGGAACUUCGAAUGCUGGAUAAAACUGUUUGCAAAUGCACAUUGAGUGGAAGGUUGUCUUCCGUAUAUACCUUCGGCGUAGGUAAUUUGUUGAGCAACAUAUUUAAUAGGUACAACUCAUGGCAAAGCUGCACUUCGAUUGUCGAUUGCGUCAUUGGUCGCACAGUGUGCAGGCAGAACACCCACAUCUUCGUUUAAACGAACCUUUUUAUAGCAAACAGGUGAAACCGGGUAGGAUAAAACAACUAUCCACGAGAAGCUCGAACAUCGCACCAGGAGGCACAUGCGCGUCCUCAUAACAUCUCUGAAGUGGUUAUGUCAAGGACCAUAAUCCACCUCCUGGCUAUCUCCACAGCGAUACCGGGUGCGGAGCAAUUGGUUUACAAUAAUCACUGCCUCGACAAGCGACAACCCACCGACACACUCAGCAAGCUGCACGUAACCCCACCUUAAAAUCAAAGCCAAAUGUUCCUCCACCUACUUCACGGACCCUUCGCAACAGUGGUUCGACCGAUUUUGUAGCUAUAUCUAAUCAUGCGAGAAUAGAGAUCAGAACCACAGCCAUGGUUUAAUAUUCGUCCACAUAUCAUCUUUCAGAGUGGUAACGGAUUAAAAUGUUCAUCACUUCUCUUGACCACACUCGAUACCUAACAUACAUGCUCACCUCCAAGUGAGCACGGCAGCCCCAGAACCGUGACCCAGAUUUCCACCAAAAUCUAAGGUCCGGUCACUAAUUCAACGAUCCUUCGCAACAGUAGUUCAACGGAUCUUGUAGCAAUAUCAAACCACGCGGAAAUAGAGAUCAGAACCACAGCCAUGGUUUAAUAUUCGUCCACAUGUCAUCCUUCAGAGUGGUAACGGAUUAAAAUGUUCAUCACUUCUCUUGACCAAACAGGAUAACCUCACAGCAUUACACAAAGCGGAGUCACCCAAACAAGUGAUAUAGCAUCAGGAACAGGACUUUUCCUCAUACCGCAGUUGGAAGGGGAAUCCAAUAUUCUCAUCCUAUGCUUUCGAAACUCUAUCAUCUGUCCAUAACCCCGCCACGUUCACCGACGUCCACCCACAAAUGCGAGCUGAUUGAACCAACCAGCUCCCGCAUCAGACCCUCACAUCCUUCUGUUCACCGGACAUGUCCAACACCCCCUCCCCCCCCCGCACAGCGGACCUAGUACUCUGCUCAGAUCCAUUCUUGUUAUUCACGGAUGACCAAAGCCAUCUCCAUAGUCUAACAUGUAUAAUUUCGGUUAGUCGUCACAGCAGCACACCGACAAAAGAACAACUCAUUCGAUAUUCAUGACAGUGGAUAAUCGUCAGAGAACUUUCACUCUCAUCCACGGCAUUCGCCAUGUAAGAAGGUGUCCUAAGAUUUGCGUUUGUAUCUCAUCACUCGAUCCACCGGCGCCGGGGGCUACCACUCAACCACUCCCAACCGUACUACACCCACCACGUUGGCAAUCAUGUGCCGUCACAUUCAGAGCUCCCACCCCUCCCUCGACUCAGCUCAACUUCACAAAAGCUCCCCCGCCACACCACAUACUACCACCCCUCUACCCCAAGAGCUCAGUCUCUGACCAGUUUAUCACUCACAUAUCUCAGUAGCAGAACUGGCUUAUACUGGUAAUAAAAAAUCCUCAUAGCUCGCACCCGCACCACACCAUCUCCGCACAACGCAUUCCCACGUCUACUUGCCUCGCAUCCUCCGACAACACCGCACGCACACAAACAUGGAAAACCCUAAAACGCCCGCUCAUCGCACACUCCCAUGACCUGCAAGGAUCGGUCCCAACUAAGCUGGACGCGAAGGGACCCUCCAACGCCCUCGCACACAAGAAACUGAAAGCACAAACACACACUCCGCCGCCGCAUGAUCUCCGAGAUGGAUCCACACAAGACAACCCGCCCAGUCCUGCCGUCAGCUCUCACCCGCCGGGCGCACUCUGAGCAUUAGGUCGGAAAGGACACCAUAUAUAGGGUUCGAUUCACAUCCUCAGGUAUCCUUUCCCCUGCAAAUAAUAUGGGCCACUGAUGUGCUCAACGUCCCCAACGGAUGGAACACUCAACGCCCAUGCUUACCAAGUAGCUUUCGUAAUCUGCACCGCAUUACCCCUUAACGGUGGUGUGUCGAACCUGACGUACGAUGUUGUUCCGGCUGUUCGGAGGACUUUGUCGAAGCGGCACAACAACUCCGUGCGCAUCCUGCAUGCGCCUCGCAGGUCCUCAUUCGUCCUUCUGACAUUCACAAGUCCCCCUUGGAUAAAGGGACACUCGAACAACUUGGAAUUUUAUGUUUUUAUCGUUUUAAGUAUUGUAAAUCUUUACCAACACAGUAAUAUCAAUGAUAUUGUGCCUUACUAUCAAUUUUAAAAUGAACAUGUAUAGCUAGACAUGCUUUAUUAUAAUUGUGGCAUUUUCUAGGUUGAAACAAUAUAAGUAAUCUUGUAGCAAUUUUCCAAAUGACAAUUCUUGAAAUAUUUAUGGUAGUUUUUGGUUCUCUAUGAUUGAUAAAUUUUUUACAAAUUGAACUUGGAACUUGUUUUUGCUUUAUUUAUUCUAUCAUAUUAUUAAUAAUUAGCUAUUGAUUUCAAUAGAUGUCACCAUAAAAAAAACUAUAAUAAGUUUUCAUACAUUUCUUAGGUUUUUAUAUUGUCAAGGACAUGAAUCUCAAAGAAAAAAAAUCUUCAGUACCUUCUUGUAUCAUUGAAGAGAACUUGAAAGUCACUUUAAAAGUAUUACAAUAUUAAAUUAGAAUGGAUAGUGCCAAAAAAAGAAACUAGAAAGUCUUUAAACAAGACUAAAGUUGAGAGUGUCAUUGAUAAGAGUAAAGAAGGCUUCAUUCUUGCCUCCAUAUAUCUUCUUAACUAAGAGCUAUGUGGUGAUGUCUUAUAUGACCUCCUAAAUGUGUUGACUUUGCAAGAUACGUUUCUUAACUAGGAAGGCAAAUUUUUCUAUAUACGCAUUACAUAAUUAGCAUGUUUUACAAGCUACCAAAACAUAGUUAACUUGUUGACCAAGUUUCUAACCUACCAAUCAACUACAAACACAUAUUAAGUCCAGCAAUAUCUAUAAAGCUUCUAGGAAGCUUCUCUAAAAGGUCUUAUGAAAUUAACUUAGUUUUAUCUACUUUUACUUAUUCCUACCUAAUCAUAUAAUUAUUUACUAAAAUACCUAUGUAUGUCUGUGACAUUAUCCUCCUUUAUAUGGACAAGUUCGUUAAAGAGUGGUCUUUAUAUGUUGCAGAAAUCCAAGAUGCAACUAAUUGUAUUUGCCACAUACUCUGCUCUUUGUUAUCUUCAAAGAUGGUUAAAAGGCCUUCUCAGCCAUUGAUAGUAUCCCAUACCAUGGCAAGAAGACCACCCUAUUAUUUGGUCAUUUUUAAAGCCUUUAUAAUUUCUUUCAAAUAAAAUAUUUAGAAUAUAAUGAGGAGUUUUUCCUACCUCUAAUAAAAUUACCAAACAUCAGGAGUCUAACAUUUUAACAUUGUGAUAUUAAACAUGUUGUAUCUUGCCAUCUAUUCCAAGAAAGAUAUGUUGUUCUAAAGGAUCUUUAUCUUGAUUUUGUUGUCUUGAAGGUUGUCACAAUCGCAAUAUUUCAUUUGGUAAGUCCACAAAUCAAAGCUCUUGAAUUAAAUCUAUUGGUUGUUGAUUCUCUAUCUCUUUAACUACAUACAAGGUACAAAGAAGGAUAGAAAAUAGAGUGUUAUCUUCCUUUAUUCUUGUUUCUUUCAUUGGAAAGAUUUGCUAUUUUUCAUCUUGGUUUUGAUAGAUGUCAUUGAAGAAAGGCUUCAACUUUCUUUGUUGUAUUUGAAUGAUUCUUUGAUGGCUCUCAUGUUCAUUCACUAAUAUCAUAUCUGUGCUAAUAAAUAAGAUAUUCCAACCUAUUUCGGCACCACCUUGAGUCUAAGACUUCUUCCACGUCAAAUUCUUGAUUAUUGUCCACUUCUAUAAGAUAAGGUGUCGUUUGUCUUCUUCUUGAGAUAUUCAUUGUGUUAUACAGCUUAAGAAAGGACACAUGAAUUAUAGUGUAGAUCUUCAUAUGCUCCAAUAAAUGAAAUUGAUAAGCAAAAAAAUUGAUUUAUUUACAAAUAGGAAAAGGUCUCAGCAUAUGAUAAUCCAACUUAUCAUAAGGACAAGUAGUCUUGAUAUUGUGAUGAAGUAAUCAUACCUUGUCACUUACGUUAAAUUAUAUUUGCUCCUUGUGAUAGGCAUCUACUUGGUCUUUUGUUGUUCUUGAGUUUCUUUUAAUUGUAUCUUCAUUGUUGCAUGUAGUUGUGAAAAAUGAUUUGUUAAAUCCUCCAUUAGAUGAUUAUCAACUUUUAAAAAAUAAAAAGUGUCAAGCUAUGGAUGAUAACUAUAAUUAGGAAAGAAAGGUGUUUAUUGAAUGGAAGAAUGUACCAAAUUAUUGUAUGCAAACUUUAUCAAUGGCAAAAGAAUUGUCCAAUCAUCUUAAUGAUAGUUGAUGGUAUAUCUCAAAUACUGUUCCAAAAUUUAAUUCACCUAUUCCAUUUGCCUAUCAGUUUGAAGAUGAAAAGCCAAAAAAAGCUUUAUAUCCACCUUUAGAAUUUUGAAUAGGAUUUUCUAAAAUCUUGAUACAAAUUGAGUCCUUCUACCCAAUAUAAUAUCCUUUGGUAAUCUAUGAUAGCAAUGAAUAUUGUCAAUGAAAAGAUUAGUUGUUUCUUGACUUGAAAUAGAUUUUGUACAUGAUACAAAAUCUGCCAUUUUAGUGAAGCAAUCUAUAAUUACAAAUAUAGAAUCAUAAGAACUCAAACUUAAAAGAUUUGUAAUAAAAUCCAUAGAAAUAGAAGACCAUGGUUGUUCAAAUACAGGCAAUGGUUGGAAAAGUCUAUAGGAUUGAUGACGAGGAGUUUUUAAUCUUGAACAAACGUGACAUGAUUGGACAAAGUCUUUUAUCACCUUCCAUAUUUAUGGCCACCAAAAAUCUCUGGAUUUAAGCUUUGAAGACUUGUUGUACCCAAAAUAUUAUGUUGCUAGAAAGUCAUGACAUGCUUGAAGAACAUAUAAAUGUGCUUGUCCUUCCGAAAUAUAUAAAUGUCCUUCAAAAUAGAGAAGGUUAUUCUUGAACUCAAACUUUGAAACAUCAUGAGACUUAAAAGAAAGAUUCUUGAUAUCAUAAAUAAGAGGAUCAGAGGACAUACUUCAUUAAAUUUGUUUGACAAAGGUCGAAUCAAUAGUCAAUGUUGAUUUCAUUACUUGAAGAUGAAAAUGCUCUAGCUUCAAGAGAAUUGUUCUUUAUUCACCAAAAGAUAUGUUUAUUUCUUUUGAUACAAGAUAAGAGCAUCUAAAAAGACCAUCUAAUAAACCUUUUUUUUUUGUAAGUUGAUAUGUGAACUUGAAAUCAAAACUUGAUAAUGACAUCUUCCAAUGGACUUGGCAACAAUUCAAAACACUUGCCAAUAUGAAAUACUUGAGGAUCUUAUAAUCUAUAUGUAUUAUGACUGGACUUCAAGUGCCUUUUGGAUAAUGACACCAUUCUUGAAAUGAAUCCAUAAUUAUAAGUUCUUUAUCUUGGAUUUCAUAGUUAAUCUCAACUACUGAAUUGUUUUUAGAAUCGAAAGCUACUGGAUGGAGUUUGUCAUCUAUUCCCAUUUGUGACAAUACUUCAUUCAAUGCAAAGUUUGAUGCAUCUAUUCCCAUAAAAAAUGCCUUAGAAAAGUUGAUGUGAUACAAAGUUGGUGCAAAAGUAAAUUCCUUCUUCAAAACAACAAAUAAUGCUUUGACUUCUUUAUUCCACUUAAGUUUUUUUUAGAAGUCAACGUGUAAGUGGAGCUACAAUUUGAAAAAAGUUCUUGAUAAAGAUUUGGUAAUAAUUAACAAAGCCCAAAAAACAUUGCACAUCUCUUACUGUUCUUGGAAUCUUCCAAUUCAUGAUAGUUUGGACCUUCUUUGGAUCCAUCAUAAGGCCUUCAUUAGAAAUGAUGUAUCCCAAAAAGUCAACUUGAGUAAUGUGGAAUACACACUUUUUCAUCUUUGCAUAUAAUCCUACAUCUUUUAGUUUUUGUAACACACAAUGAACAUGAACUUCAUCAUCUUUUGUGUUCUUAGAAUAGAUUAAAAUAUCUUUGAAAUAAUAAACAACAAAAUUAUCAAGAAACUCACAAAAGACAUCAUUCAUUAGAUGUUGAAAAGCAGUUGGUACAUUUGUGAAUAAAAAAAGGCAUGAUAUUAUAUUCAAAAUGUAUACACUUACUUUAGAAAGCAAUCUUCUAUUCAUCUCUUUGUUUGAUGCAGACCAGAAUAUAUGCUCCUCGUAGAUCUAUUUUUGUAUAGAUCUUUGCUUGAUUUACUUAAUCAAAAAGUCUUAAAAUCAAAGAAAGAAGAUACCUAUUUUUGAUGGUGAUUAUAUUAAGUCCUCAAUAAUCUAUACACAUCUAUAGAGAUCUGUCUUUUUUCUUUACAAAUAAGAUAGGAGCACUGAUUGGAAAUUUAGAAUAGCAUAUAAAAUUUUUAGCCAAAUUCUCAUCAAUGUACUUUUUGAUUGCAGCCAAUUAAUUUUGUGAUAGGCUAUAGAUUGAUUCAAAUCGUGGUUGAGUUCCUUCUUGAAUAUCAAUGGUACAAUCAUAAGAACAAUGUCUUAGAAGAAUAUUUACAUUCUUAUUUUCAAAAAUAUCCUAGAAAUCUUAAUAUUAGCUAAGAAUACUACUUGAUAUCUUCUCACCAUCAACAAUAGAUGUGGCAUAUAUAGCAAAAGAUGACCCUUCAUUUGCGGCAUGCAUAAAAGCUUUUGUACCUAUCAACAAGGGUUUGGAUAUACUAGACUUAUAGAUUUCUACUUGCCUAAUAAGACCUUGGGCUAAAUUAUGGAAAAAUUGAGAUUGCAAGAAAUCUAAUCCAUAUAAAGAUUAUAUGUUUCUAACCACAAUAAUCCUAAAAUGAUUAGAUUAAAAGGAGUCUUAAUUACAUUAAAUAUUAUUAAACUAUUGUGACUAUUAGUUGCUACUUCUACAAGAAUAGUUUUAUGUGUAACAUCUCCAAAGGAUAAUGAACGUCUAUCUAUUAUUUUUAUAUGUGUAAGUUUGAUUUUCUUAAUUAAAUAUAUAUAUCUUAUUUUUUGACAAAUUCUUCAUUUAUAAAACAAGUUGAGGCUCUUGAAUCCAAUAACGCUAAGACUUUGUGAUUUUUUGGUCAUAAAUAGACUUCUAUUGUAAAACAAGGUGAGGGAUCAGAGCAAAGAAUAUGACCUUUGAUAGAUGGUAUAUAUGAUUCUAGCUACAUUAUCUCUAUUGUAGUUGCAGCAACUCGUUUUUCAAUACAUUGUCCUCUUAGGCAAUUGUACUUCUCAUUUUAUAAUUACGUUGUUUUUUUGGACAAUGUUGAGCAAUAUGUUUAGCUUCUCUACAAUAUCAACAUAAGCCCUCUUGAUAUUGUCAAUUCUUUUCCUGCUUUGAGAGAGAUUUAAAAUGUAUCAUAUCAAUUUAUAUUAGUUCUAGCUAUGAAAAAUAAGUUUUUGAAAACUUAGCAGCUGCCGUCAUUAUUUGAUUUGUUCCUCUGCAACCAUAUAUUUGUUCACCAUGUCUUUCAAAUAAUUGAUUGUCAUAUGUAAUGGCUUGAAUAAUAAAUUGUUCUAAAGAUUUUGUCUUUGGCAUCGUCAGUAACAAGUCAUUGACAUUAUCCUUCAAUCCAUUUCGAAACUGAUUGAUAAGGGCUUUGUCAUUCCAAUCCAUAUCGCAUGUAAGGUUUAAGAAUUUAACAAAAUAUAUGGUGAUUGAUGUCAAGGAAAAAGACUCGAUGACGGAAAAUAUACACAAAAAGGCUAUCUCGAUAUAAUAAGUCAAAAUAUAAACAAGUAGGUAUACUAAAAGGAAACUCGAAUGGCUAUUGCCACAAGACAAGAAACUAAAGACUCUUGAACCUGGACUAGAAGCAAGAAAGGAGUUGACAAGAGUGAAGAAGCCUUCACUCUUGUCUCUAUAUAUACUAUCUAACUAGGGGCUACGUGGCGACGUUCUAUAGGACCUCCAAUAUGUGUUGACUUUGUAGGACACAUGCCUUGACUUACAAGGCAAGUUUUUCUAAGUGUGGGCCACAUAGUUAGCUUGAUCUUCAAGCUAACAACAUGUGUGGCACAUGGCCAACUUGUUGACCACGUUUCUAAUCCAAAAAGUCAAUUAAAGACACCAAUGAAGUCAAAGCAAUGUCUAGGAAGUUUCUAGGAAGCUUCUAUAUUAAAUAUUAUAGAAUUAACUUACUUUUAUCUACUUUUACUUACUUCUACCUAUUUCUAUAUGUAAUUAUUAGCUUACAUGAUUAUGGCCGUGACAUUACCCCCCCUUCUAGAGACGAGUUCCACGAGGAGCGGUCAUCAUAUGUUGAGGAAAUCUAUGAUGCGAUGAAUUGUAUUCGCCACAUAUUUUGAUCUCUGUUCUCUUCGAAGAUGAUUGAUAGGGCCUCUCAACCAUCGGUAGUGUCCCAUACCAGGGCGGGAAGACCACCCAGUUAUUUGAUCAUUGUUGAGGCCUUCGUAACUUCCUUCGAAUAGAAUAUUCGGAACACCAUCAGGAGUUGUUCCUACCUCUAGCAAAAUCACCAAACAUCGGGAGUCCCUUCCCAAAUCGUGAUACCAAACGCGUUGUAUCUCACCAUCUGUUCGAAGAAGAACAUGUCGUUCUUGAAGAUCUUCAUCUCGAUUGCGUCGUCUUGAAGGUUGUGACAAUCGUAAUGUCUCGUCCGGCAAGUCAACAAACGAAGGUUCUUGAGUUGAAUCCGCUGGUUGUUGGCUCUUCAUCUAAUUAGCGUCACAAUUACAAAGAAGUUACAAACAAGGAUAGAAAAUUGAAUGUUAUCUUGCCUCAAUCUUGUCUCUUUUAUAAGAGAGAUUUUCAUCUUGGUUUUGAUGGAUGUCGUUGAUGAAAAACUUUGACUUUAGCUGAUGCAUUUCUUAGAUUCCUGGAUGGCUCUCAUGUGCGUUCACUAAUAUCAUAUCCGCGCCAAUGAAUAAGAUAUUCCAGCUUAUUUUGGCGCCGCCUUGAGUCUAAUAUCUCUUCCACCUCAAAUUCUUCAUUAUUAUCUACUUCUAUAGGAGGCGGUGGCAUUUAUCUUCUUCCUUGUAUAUCCACUGUCUUAUAUGGUUCAAGAAGAGACACGUGGAAUACAGGAUGGAUCUUCAUUGACUCCGGUAGAUGUAACCGAUAUGCAACUGGGUUGAUCUGUUCAGAAACAAAAAAGGGGCCAAGCCUACAAUAGUCCAACUUGUCAUAAGGUCGAGUAGUCUUGAUAUUGCGACGAAGUAGCCAUACCUUAUCACCCACGUUGAUUUGUGGUUGCUCCUUAUGAUAUAGAUCUGCGUUUAUCUUUUGUCGUUCUUGAGCUUCCUUCAAUUGCAUCUUCAUUAUUGCAUGUAACUCUGAUAACCGAUUUGCCAUAUCUUCUGCUGCAGGAUUAUCAACUUUUGAAAAAUCAAAAGUAUCAAGUCGUGGAUGAUAGCCAUAAUUGGCAAAGAAAGGUGUUUAUUGCGUGGAAGAAUGUACCGUAUUAUUAUAAGCAAACUCUGCCAAUGGCAGAAGGGUUGUCCAAUCAUCUUGUUGGUAGUUGAUAGUACACCUUAAAUAUUGCUCCAAGACUUGGUUUACGCGCUCUGUUUGUCCAUCAGUUUGAGGAUGGAAAGCCGAAGAUAGCUUUAUGUCCACUUUUAAAAUCUUGAAAAGGGUCCUCCAGAAUCUUGUUACAAAUUGAGUUCCCCUAUCCGAUAUGAUAUCUUUAGGUAAUCCAUGAUAGCGAUAAAUAUUAUCAAUGAAAAGCUUAGUUGUUUCUUCACUUGUGAUAGAUUUUGUACAUGGCACAAAAUGUGCCAUCUUGGUGAAACGAUCUACUAUCACAAAUAUAGAAUCAUAAGAUCUUGAGCUUAGAAGAUCUGUGAUGAAAUCCAUAGAAAUAGAAGACCAUGGUUGUUCUGGUAUAGGUAAUGGCUGAAGAAGUCCGUAAGGUCGAUGACGAGGAAUUUUUGAUCUUGAACAAAUAUCACAAGAUUGUACAAAGUCUUUGACUGACUUCCACAUUUGUGGCCACCAAAAAUCUCUUGAUAUGAGUUCCAAAGUCUUAUUAUGUCCAAAGUGCCCUGCUGCUGGAAAGUCAUGACUUGCUUGAAGAACACGUAAACGUGCUUCUCCUUCUGGAACAUAAUCCUUCUUGACGACGAUGAAUCUUUUCUUGCUCAGAUAGGGGUUUAAAACGUAUCGCAUCAAUUUGCAUGUCUUCUACUUCCGAAUGUACGUUUGGCAAAGAUGUUGAUGUUGCCAUUGAGUAAUAACGUUGAGGUUCCCGUGAAUGAUUCUCGGAUCGAAAUUCGAAAAGUCGAUUAUCACAUUUUAUCGCAAAAUCGAUUGCUUGACUCAAAGUUUGAGGAUCAGGUAAGUUGAGCAUGAAUUUCUUUACUUCGUAUUGCAAUCCAUAAAGAAAUUGACUGAUGAGUGCAGCAUCAUCUCACUUGAUGUCAAUUGCAAGUUGUCGAAAUUGUGAAGCAUACACUAUUAUUGAGUGAUUUCUUUGUCGCAGAAUUUGGAUCUUAUUUGUUGCAACACGAGUUGCAUCGUGUUCACCAUACAUAGAUCGAAACUCUGCCAAAAAAGCUUCCAAAUUGUCCAAUAUUGGAUUUCGUUGUUCAAGAAAAGAUGAAAACCACGAUAAUGCAGAACCAGAAAGUAGAGUGCCAAUAAACCUGACUUGUGAUCCUGGAGUUGGAUAGCUUUGCGGUUGAAGUUCAAUUGCCAAUUGUACUUGAUUGAUGAACCCUCGAAACUUUGAUCUUGUACCAUCAAAUUUCUCGGAUAAGGCAAUUCUUGGAUCUCUAGUGCUUACAGGGUGUUGUACAAUUGGGGAAGGAACGUGAUUUGUUGUAGAUGUUGAAGCAGCUCUAAUCAUCUCUAUAUCCCCACUUUCUGCUAUUCUUGUUCUUUCCUGUGUUGGUGAAUUGAGUUGAUGCAUCGCAAGCAUUAACUCCCUCAUUUGCUCUUGCAUUUGUGCCAUUGCACUCUUCAUUUCAACAAGCUCUGCCAUAAUGACACUAAGAAGAAAAAUUUGUUUGAUAUUGCUCAAGACAAAAGAAAAGAAAGACUUGAUAACAAAGAAGAUACUAAGAACAAUAUUAGUUUAGAAGUGGGUAAUCCGUAAACUUCUAAUACGCUUAUGUCUUGUCAAGAGAAAGGGGUAAUCCACUCUUAUUCAAGAAAAACAAAGCUCUGAUAUUGUAAGUGUACUCUUGUCAAUCUAUCAAGGACAAAGACUCGAUGAGGGAAAAUAUACACAAAAAGGCUAUCUCGUUAUAAUAAGUCAAAAUAUAAACAAGUAUGUAUAUUAAAUGGAAACAGGAAUGGCUAUUGCCACAAGACAAGAAACUAAAGACUCUUGAACUUGGACUAGGAGCAAGAAAGGAGUUGACAAGAGUGAAGAAGCCUUCACUCUUGUCUCUAUAUAUACUAUCUAACUAGGGGCUACGUGGCGACGUUCUAUAGGACCUCCAAUAUGUGUUGACUUUGUAGGACACAUGCCUUGACUUACAAGGCAAGUUUUUCUACGUGUGGGCCACAUAGUUAGCUUGAUCUUCAAGCUAACAACAUGUGUGGCACAUGGCCAACUUGUUGACCACGUUUUUAAUCCAAAAAGUCAAUUAAAGACACCUAUGAAGUCAAAGCAGCAUCUAGGAAGUUUCUAGGAAGCUUUUAUAUUAAAUAUUAUAGAUUUAACUUACUUUUAUCUACUUUUACUUACUUCUACCUAUUUCUAUAUGUAAUUAUUAGCUUACAUGAUUAUGGCCGUGACAAUUGACCAUAAUCUUUGCAAUAAAAAUAAGAGCUUGGUCUCUGCUACUCUUUCUCAAUCACUUUCUCUAAGUGUAGCUCUAAACACUUGUAGGAAUGAAUUCAAAUCAUAAAGGAAUCGCAAUUUUUUUCCAUUAAAGAUACAAACUUUGAGAGAGCACUUCUUGAUAGAAGUGUACCUAUGAAUUUUGACUUGGGUAAAUCCAUUGGAAUAUUGAAAAAGGAUCAACCUUAGAUAGAGCUUGAAUCGUUGCAAAAAUCCUCAAAAUUUUGAUCUUGUUCUAUCAAACUUGUCAAACAUACUAAUCUUUGUCCAUGUCAUACUUAUAGAAGCAAAAUUCCUUAGAUUUGGUUGUGAGAUUGAUCUACUUGCUUCCUUCAACUGCACAACUUCUUGCCGCAGACUCUGAACUUCUUUCAUAUGCAUAGGCAUGGUACCUCUAUGAUUCAUGUUCAAAAUAUGUGAGAUUUCCACUCUUAGAAUAUUGACAAGCUCAUGAAGAUCUGGAAUAGUAACAAAUCUAUAUUCAUUUGUACUAAGAAGAACAUCCAUAAUAUUUUCUUCCAUAGACAACUCAAAAAAAUUCAAAAAGUUAAAUUAGAAGAGGAUAAUCUGCAACCUCUAAUAAAAAUUUCAACAAAGAUGGAUAAUCUACUCUCUUUAGGAAAAAGAUCAGUGUUAGAAAAUAAGAUUUUUUGUUUAAAGGUGCGUAGUCUACAACCUUCAAAACACAACAAUAGAAGUGGAAUAAUCCAUUCACUUCUAAAAUAAUACAAAAAUAGUAUGUUAGUACUUUUGUCAAACUAUUAAAGAUAUUAUUAUUAAAAAAAGAAAAACUUCAAUAUACUCUUGUAUUACUAAAGAGAACUAGAAAGUCACUCAAAAGGUUAUAUAAUAUUAAACUAGAAUAGCUAGUACCAAAAACAAGAAGAUUAAAAAGUCUUCAAACAAGAAUAAGGACUAGAAAGGCAUUGACAAGAGUGAAGAAGUCUUUACUCUUGCUUCCAUAUAUAUUCUUAACUAGAAGCUAUGUAGCAAUAUCCUAUAGAAUCUCUAAAAUGUAUUGACUUUGCAAGACAAGUUUUUUAACUUGCAAGGCAAGUUUUUUAUAUGUGCAUGACAUAUUUAGCAUAUUUUGUAAGUUACCAACACAUGGUUAACUUAUUAACCAAGUUUCUAACCUAUCAAUCAACUACAAACACAUGUAUAAUCAAGGUGCAUCUAUGAAGCUUUUAAGAAGCUUUCCUAAAAGGUCUUAUAAAAUUAACCUACUUUUAUCUACUUUUAUCUAUUCUUACCUAAUCAUAUAACUAUCUACUAGAAUACAUAUGUAUGUCCAUGACACAUAUGGCUCCUAUAUAAUUUUACUUAUAUGGUAUAUCAAUGCCACUUUAUAAGAUAUUCUAUUUUAUUUUUGUGUUGUUUAUAGUCCAAAACUUCUUUAACUUCAAACUAUUGAUUGUUAUUGAAUUUUAGAACUAAAGUAAUAAUUUUCUUCUAAUUAUAUUUUUUUUCUUUAAUAGCUUAAGAAGUGAGACAAAAAAAAUAAGAAAAAUAUUUAAUAAUUCAAGUAGAUAUAAUCAAUAUGCAAUUAAAUUAAUUUAUUAUCUUAUGAGAAAUAAUUAAAGUCUAUAAUAAUUUAAUUUAUCUAUUUAAUUUAAUUAGAAAACUUAAAAUAUUUGAUUUUAUUUGAUUUGAUUUUAUAAAAUAAUAAUUUUAAAUAUUUAAUCGAUAUCUUAUAUCUAAAAUAAAUAAUUUAUAUUAGUUUCUUUUUUAUAUUUAAUUUUUAAGUCUUUGAUUUUAAUUCCUUAAUCUUUGAUGAUUUCAUUUUUUAUUGCAUAUUUUAGGCCAUCAAUUUUAGACAUCAAUAUUUAUAUUAUAAUUAUUAUUUUUAAUAAUAAAAAUAUUAUUUUUAUUAUUUAAAAAAAUUAUAAUAUUUAUUCAUUUAUAUAGUAUAAAAGAUUCAAUGUACUUUGUCUUAAUAUAUAAUAUGUAUAUUAUAUAUGUUAUUUUAUAAUUGAUUACAUAUAUCUUCUAUUUUUUAAAUUUAAUUCCUUAAAAGUAAAUAAAUAAAUAAAUAAAUAAAUUUUACUUGAAUUGAUAUAUAAAAAAUGUUGAAAUAAAUAUUAUCUAUUUAUGAAUUUUGUAGAUGCAUAAGAUGUCUUUAUACCUAGAAAUCAACUUUGAAAAAUUGUACUUCAAAAGCCUUAUCAAAGUCUUAAGCAUGGUAAAAAAUACCAUCCAUUAGAAGCUUUGCUAUUUAGAAAUAGUAUAAAGUAAGAAGAGGUAAUAAAAUAGAUGAUAUCAUAUUUUUUAUUGAAUGAAUAAAUGUUUUAGUUCAUAUCUUCAUUAAAAUCAUCAUGAAAUCUUCUAAUUUGAAUCUAAUUAUUCACCAUGGUUGCAAAACAUUAUUCUAUUUUUAAAUUCUUUGCUAUUGUUGUUGCUCAUUAUUUAGAGGUCCAAAAAUUCAAUAUUACUACUAUAGUGAUUUAUUUGAAUAAACUUUAUAUUCAAAAAUUACAAAGGUUCAAAUAACUUCUUCUAAUAUCAUUAUUUUUUUAUUUUUUUGAAAAAAUGUGUGGCAUUAAGGAGAGUGUUUGUCAAUAAAAGAAAAACUUCAACUUAUUUUUAAACAACUCAAUUUUAUUUUCUUCUAAAACUAACUCAUAUAUAUAUAUAUAUAUAUAUAUAUAUAUAUAUAUAUAUAUAUAUAUAUAUAUAUAUAUAUAUUUCAACCACAAUAUAUUAUUUUUUAUAGUUUUUGAUAAUUAAAUUGAUGGUAUAAUAAUCUAUUUAUUUGUAUUAUAUUUAAUUUGUUAAAUUUAUAUAAUUUAAAAUAAAUUUCAAAGUUAUAAUCACAAUUUUUGAUUAUUUUUUGAGUUUUUAAAUCUAACAAUAUUGUUUAAAUUUUUAAUUUUUAUCCAUAAACAUUGGUACAUUUUAGCAAUUUUAUUUGCUUUAAUAUGCUUAAUUACAACUUUGUCUCAAUUCCAACUAAAAUUAAAACUCCAUUUUUUUUAAAAGGUGAUUUAUUAACUAACAAAUCAUACAUUUAAUGUAUCAGAUGUUUGAUGUAUGCAAUAGUUCUCAUUUGUCUAAAUACUACAUCUUCUUUUAACAUAACAAUAUAAUAACAAAAGCAUUCAAAAUAUUUCUACUAGAGUAGAUUAAAAUAAAUUCUUUGAUAUAUUAAAUAUGCAAUACUACUUAGUAUCUAAAUCUGAAAAAAUACAAUAAAACAUUCAUGUUCACCUUUAAGGCUUUUUGUUUUAAUUUUGCAAGCAAUCUAGAUGAUUUCAAGAGUUACAAAGGAUACAUUUUCUUCUUAGUUGAUAGAGCCAUAUCAUGGAUCAAUAAAUAACAAGUGUAUAUUGCAAACUCUACCAUUCUUGUUGAACUUUUAGCUAUGGCUAAGACAUCAAAAAAAAGAUAUUUAUUUAUCUUAUUUUUUAUACAUCAUUUUAACAUCCCAAUUCUACCAAUAAUUAUUUUAUGAAAAAAUAAAUGAAUAAUAUUUCUUGCCAAUAAUAUUAGUUAUUAUAAAAAAUAAAAUAUAUUAAUAUAAAAUACAUUUUUUAUUUUUUAGCUUUGGAAGAAAUAAGAAAUCAAUUUUAUUUAUGUUUUGACAUAAAACCAAAUUAUCAAUAUUUUUUUAAGGCUAUUUUUUAAGAUUGUUUUAUUUAAUUUUAUUUUUUAUUAAAAAUUAUUACUUUUAAUGCAAAUUCAAUAGUAGAUGAAAUAUAAUAUUUGGCUAUAAAAAAUCUAUAUAGAUAAAAAUAAGUAUUACAUUAUUACAUUCAUUUUAUUUAGUACAAGAAAAAAUAAAUAACAACCAACAAUUGCUACUACUAUAUAUAUAUAUAUAUAUAUAUAUAUAUAUAUAUCUAUAUAUAUUUAUUUAUACAAUUGAUUUGAUAACAUGAAUAAGUAAAAAUAGAUAAAAGUAGAUAAAUUUAAUAAUAUCUUAUAAAAAAGAUUCAUAUAUGUACUUUUGAUUUUAUACAUAUCUAUAGAUGAUUGAUAGAUUAGAAACUUAAUCAAUAAAUUGGUGUCAAGGACAAAGACUCGAUGAGGGAAAAUAUACACAAAAAGGCUAUCUCGAUAUAAUAAGUCAAAAUAUAAACAAGUAGGUAUACUAAAAGGAAACUCGAAUGGCUAUUGCCACAAGACAAGAAACUAAAGACUCUUGAACCUGGACUAGAAGCAAGAAAGGAGUUGACAAGAGUGAAGAAGCCUUCACUCUUGUCUCUAUAUAUACUAUCUAACUAGGGGCUACGUGGCGACGUUCUAUAGGACCUCCAAUAUGUGUUGACUUUGUAGGACACAUGCCUUGACUUACAAGGCAAGUUUUUCUAAGUGUGGGCCACAUAGUUAGCUUGAUCUUCAAGCUAACAACAUGUGUGGCACAUGGCCAACUUGUUGACCACGUUUCUAAUCCAAAAAGUCAAUUAAAGACACCAAUGAAGUCAAAGCAAUGUCUAGGAAGUUUCUAGGAAGCUUCUAUAUUAAAUAUUAUAGAAUUAACUUACUUUUAUCUACUUUUACUUACUUCUACCUAUUUCUAUAUGUAAUUAUUAGCUUACAUGAUUAUGGCCGUGACAUUAUCCCCCCUUCUAGAGACGAGUUCCACGAGGAGCGGUCAUCAUAUGUUGAGGAAAUCUAUGAUGCGAUGAAUUGUAUUCGCCACAUAUUUUGAUCUCUGUUCUCUUCGAAGAUGAUUGAUAGGGCCUCUCAACCAUCGGUAGUGUCCCAUACCAGGGCGGGAAGACCACCCAAAUAUUUGAUCAUUGUUGAGGCCUUCGUAACUUCCUUCGAAUAGAAUAUUCGGAACACCAUCAGGAGUUGUUCCUAUCUCUAGCAAAAUCACCAAACAUCGGGAGUCCCUUCCCAAAUCGUGAUACCAAACGCGUUGUAUCUCACCAUCUGUUCGAAGAAGAACAUGUCAUUCUUGAAGAUCUUCAUCUCGAUUGCGUCGUCUUGAAGGUUGUGACAAUCGUAAUGUCUCGUCCGGCAAGUCAACAAACGAAGGUUCUAGAGUUGAAUCCGCUGGUUGUUGGCUCUCCAUCUAAUUAGCGUCACAAUUACAAAGAAGUUACAAACAAGGAUAGAAAAUUGAAUGUUAUCUUGCCUCAAUCUUGUCUCUUUUAUAAGAGAGAUUUUCAUCUUGGUUUUGAUGGAUGUCGUUGAUGAAAAACUUUGACUUUAGCUGAUGCAUUUCCUAGAUUCCUGGAUGGCUCCCAUGUGCGUUCACUAAUAUCAUAUCCGCGCCAAUGAAUAAGAUAUUCCAGCUUAUUUUGGCGCCGCCUUGAGUCUAAUAUCUCUUCCACCUCAAAUUCUUCAUUAUUAUCUACUUCUAUAGGAGGCGGUGGCAUUUAUCUUCUUCCUUGUAUAUCCACUGUCUUAUAUGGUUCAAGAAGAGACACGUGGAAUACAGGAUGGAUCUUCAUUGACUCCGGUAGAUGUAACCGAUAUGCAACUGGGUUGAUCUGUUCAGAAACAAAAAAGGGGCCAAGCCUACAAUAGUCCAACUUGUCAUAAGGUCGAGUAGUCUUGAUAUUGCGACGAAGUAGCCAUACCUUAUCACCCACGUUGAUUUGUGGUUGCUCCUUAUGAUAUAGAUCUGCGUUUAUCUUUUGUCGUUCUUGAGCUUCCUUCAAUUGCAUCUUCAUUAUUGCAUGUAACUCUGAUAACCGAUUUGCCAUAUCUUCUGCUGCAGGAUUAUCAACUUUUGAAAAAUCAAAAGUAUCAAGUCGUGGAUGAUAGCCAUAAUUGGCAAAGAAAGGUGUUUGUUGCAUGGAAGAAUGUAUCGUAUUAUUAUAAGCAAACUCUGCCAAUGGCAGAAGGGUUGUCCAAUCAUCUUGUUGGUAGUUGAUAGUACACCUUAAAUAUUGCUCCAAGACUUGGUUUACGCGCUCUGUUUGUCCAUCAGUUUGAGGAUGGAAAGCCGAAGAUAGCUUUAUGUCCACUUUUAAAAUCUUGAAAAGGGUCCUCCAGAAUCUUGUUACAAAUUGAGUUCCCCUAUCCGAUAUGAUAUCUUUAGGUAAUCCAUGAUAGCGAUAAAUAUUAUCAAUGAAAAGCUUGGUUGUUUCUUCACUUGUGAUAGAUUUUGUACAUGGCACAAAAUGUGCCAUCUUGGUGAAACGAUCUACUAUCACAAAUAUAGAAUCAUAAGAUCUUGAGCUUAGAAGAUCUGUGAUGAAAUCCAUAGAAAUAGAAGACCAUGGUUGUUCUGGUAUAGGUAAUGGCUGAAGAAGUCCGUAAGGUCGAUGACGAGGAAUUUUUGAUCUUGAACAAAUAUCACAAGAUUGUACAAAGUCUUUGACUGACUUCCACAUUUGUGGCCACCAAAAAUCUCUUGAUAUGAGUUCCAAAGUCUUAUUAUGUCCAAAGUGCCCUGCUGCUGGAAAGUCAUGACUUGCUUGAAGAACACGUAAACGUGCUUCUCCUUCUGGAACAUAUAGGCGUCCUUCAAAAUAUAAUAGAUUAUUCUUGAACUCGAACUUAGAAGGAUCAUGAGACUUGAAAGAAUUAUUCUCGAUAUCAUAAACAAGAGGGUCUGAGGACAUAUUGGACUGGAUUUGCUUGAGAAAAGUUGAAUCAACAGUCAAUGUUGAUUUCAUUGCUCGGAGAUGAAAUUGCUCCGGUUUCAAGAGGACCGUUCUUUGUUGCUCAAAAGCUACAUCUCCUUCUUUUGGUGCAAAAUAAGAACGUCUAGAUAGGGCAUCGGACAAACCUUGUUGUUUUCCUGGUCGAUAAGAGAUAAUGAACUCGAAUCUUGACAAAGACAUACUCCAACGAGCUUGACGACGAUUCAACACGCGUGCUGACAUGAAAUACUCGAGGUUCUUGUGAUCUGUAUACACAAUGACUGGACUAGAAGCGCCUUCUAGAUAAUGAUGCCAUUCUUGAAAGGAAUCCACGAUCGCAAGAAGUUCUUUAUCGUGGAUCUCAUAAUUGAUCUCGGCUGUUGAGAAUUUUCUUGAAUGAAAAGCUAUCGGAUGAAGUUUGUGAUCUGAUCCCAUUUGUGAUAAAACUGCACCCAAGGCAAAAUCUGAUGCAUCUGUUUCCAUAAAAAAUGCCUUGGAAAAGUCAAUACGAUAUAAGACUGGUGCAGAGACAAACGAUGUCUUCAAGGCUUCAAAUGCUGCUUUCGCUUCUUGAUUCCAUUGGAAUUUAUCUUUACUAGUCAAGCGUGUAAGUGGAGCUACAACUCGUGAGAAAUCUUUGAUAAAGAUCUAAUAGUAAUUGACAAAUCCCAAGAAACAUUGGACAUCUCUUACUGUCCUUGGAAUCUUCCAAUCCAUGAUUGUUUGGACUUUCUUAGAAUCCAUCAUGAGACCAUCAUUUGAAAUGAUGUAUCCUAAAAAGUCAACUUGAGUAGUGUGAAAUACACACUUUUCCAUCUUGGCGUACAAUCCUGCAUCUCUAAAUUUUUGUAAUACUUGACGAACAUAUAUUUCAUGUUCUUCGACAUUCUUAGAAUAGAUCAGGAUAUCGUCUAGAUAGCAGACGACAAAAUUAUCUAAGAAUUCACGAAAUACAUCAUUCAUGAGAUGUUGAAAAGCAGCUAGUGCAUUCGUGAGUCCAAAGGGCAUGACAUUAUAUUCGAAAUGUCCAUACCUGGUUCAAAAAGCAGUCUUCCAUUCAUGUCCUUCUUUGAUCCGUACUAGAUUAUAUGCUCCUCUUAGAUCUAUUUUUGUAUAGAUCUUAGCUUGAUUCAACUGGUCAAGGAGUCCUGAUAUCAAAGGUAAUGGAUACCUGUUCUUGAUUGUGAUCUUGUUGAGUCCUCGAUAAUCAACACACAUUCGUAAAGAUCCAUCUUUUUUCUUUACGAAUAGAAUUGGAGCUCCUGCUGGAGAUUUUGAAUGGCGUAUGAAAUUCUUUGCUAAAUUCUCGUCAAUAUAUGUCUUGAGUUCAGCCAACUCAUCUUGGGAUAAACUGUAAAUUGGUCCAAAUGGUCAUUGAGUUCCUUCCUUGAGGUCGAUUGAACAAUCAUAUGGGCGAUGCUCAAGAAGAAUAUCUGCAUUCUUUUUCUCAAAAAUGUCUUGAUACUCCUGAUAUUGACUUGGAAUGCCACUUGAAGUCUUUACGUUUUCAAAAAUAGGUGCAGCAUAAAUAGCAAAAGUUGAUCCUUCUUUUGCUGCGUGUAUAAAUGCUUUUGUACCUAUCAGUACGGGUUUUACUAUAUUAGACCUAUAAUUUUUUACUUGGUUGGUAGAACUAUUAAUAACGCUCUGGAAAAAGUCAAGUUUACGCGAAUUCCAAUCUAUUCGAGUGUUAUAUUUUUCUAGCCAGGAUAAACCUAAAAUAACUGGAUUGGACGUGGAUUUAAUUAUGUUAAAAGCUAUGUAGCUAUCAUGACCGUCUAUUGUUACUUUUAUAGGAUGAGUUUCAUGAGUGACAUCUCCAGAAGACAAGGGACGACCAUCUAUGACUUCUACAUGUACUGGUUUAGGUUUCUAUAUAAAAGGUAUUUUAUGACUUUUAACAAAUUGUUCAUCUAAAAAACAUGUUGAGGCUCCCGAAUCUAAUAAAGCAGAGGCUUUGUAAUUCUUAGGUCCUAAAUAUAAGUCUAUUAUAUAACAAGAAGAGGGUUCUGAGGAGAGGAUAGGACCUUCAUUAGGAAUUGUACAAGGUUCCAGCUGCACGGUCCCUAUUGUAGCUGGACAAAUCUGUUUUCCGACAUGUUGUCUUCUUUGACCGCCGUACCCUUCAUUUUAUAGUUGCGUCGUUUCUUUGGACAAUGUUGAGCAGUGUGCUUAGAUUCUCCGCAAUAUAAACAUAAUCCUUCUUGACGACGAUGAUCUUUUCUUGCUCAGUUAGGGGUUUAAAACGUACCGCGUCAAUUUGCAUGUCUUCUACUUCCGAAUGUACGUUUGGCAAAGAUGUUGAUGUUGCCAUUGAGUAAUAACGUUGAGGUUCCCGUGAAUGAUUCUCGGAUCGAAAUUCGAAAAGUCGAUUAUCACAUUUUAUCGCAAAAUCGAUUGCUUGACUCAAAGUUUGAGGAUCAGGUAAGUUGAGCAUGAAUUUCUUUACUUCGUAUUGCAAUCCAUAAAGAAAUUGACUGAUGAGUGCAGCAUCAUCCCACUUGAUGUCAAUUGCAAGUUGUCGAAAUUGUGAAGCAUACACUAUUAUUGAGUGAUUUCUUUGUCACAGAAUUUGGAUCUUAUUUGUUGCAACACGAGUUGCAUCGUGUUCACCAUACAUAGAUCGAAACUCUGCCAAAAAAGCUUCCAAAUUGUCCAAUAUUGGAUUUCGUUGUUCAAGAAAAGAUGAAAACCACGAUAAUGCAGAACCAGAAAGUAGAGUGCCAAUAAACCUGACUUGUGAUCCUGGAGUUGGAUAGCUUUGCGGUUGAAGUUCAAUUGCCAAUUGUACUUGAUUGAUGAACCCUCGAAACUUUGAUCUUGUACCAUCAAAUUUCUCGGAUAAGGCAAUUCUUGGAUCUCUAGUGCUUACAGGGUGUUGUACAAUUGGGGAAGGAACGUGAUUUGUUGUAGAUGUUGAAGCAGCUCUAAUCAUCUCUAUAUCCCCACUUUCUGCUAUUCUUGUUCUUUCCUGUAUUGGUGAAUUGAGUUGAUGCAUCGCAAGCAUUAACUCCCUCAUUUGCUCUUGCAUUUGUGCCAUUGCACUCUUCAUUUCAACAAGCUCUGCCAUAAUGACACUAAGAAGAAAAAUUUGUUUGAUAUUGCUCAAGACAAAAGAAAAGAAAGACUUGAUAACAAAGAAGAUACUAAGAACAAUAUCAGUUUAGAAGUGGGUAAUCCGUAAACUCCUAAUACGCUUAUGUCUUGUCAAGAGAAAGGGGUAAUCCACUCUUAUUCAAGAAAAACAAAGCUCUGAUAUUGUAAGUGUACUCUUGUCAAUCUAUCAAGGACAAAGACUCGAUGAGGGAAAAUAUACACAAAAAGGCUAUCUCGUUAUAAUAAAUCAAAAUAUAAACAAGUAUGUAUAUUAAAUGGAAACAGGAAUGGCUAUUGCCACAAGACAAGAAACUAAAGACUCUUGAACUUGGACUAGGAGCAAGAAAGGAGUUGACAAGAGUGAAGAAGCCUUUUCCCGUUUCCCGUCUCACUGCAGCAUUCUUGUCCUUUGUACUACUGCACAAUUCAGGCUUCGUGAAUCGUUUCUCUCAUUGGCAAAGCCCAUCCAGUCCAUCAACAACCACUGCGCACAACAUCUAAACCUACUGCUGAAUCGCAUUGCUGCAUUCUCCACAAUCAAACACCAUCACGACUCCCACCAGUACACUGCCACAGACCCACAAAAACCCUAGAACUCACCUCCCAUUUGCCGCACCUAUGACACACAUGUACCACUGCCUCAACUCCUUCAAUUUCUCCUUUCCCUCCUACUCCAUCACACACGCAUCACGCCCCAAAGAAUCUCCAUGGCGAAGCCGAUGCACCUUCCACCCUCGCAAUCUUCCAAUCUCACCAGUCGUCUGCUUACAUCCUCUCUCAUCACAUGGCGCAAGACCAUGGCCAGAUGAUCACGAAACUAAAAUAAGUUCUCUCAUCCCCCUUCCAAACACGCGCCCUCCACAACGGCCCUACUCCACUGUCCGUAUCACUCACUAAUUUCCAGACCAAAUCCCACCAACCCCCCGGCGCCCCGCAACUGCUCCUCCUCCGAAACCAACACCGAGAGAGAUGGUGUGGAAGAGUGUGUGGGCAAAAGCGAGGGUUAGCUAGCAAGUAGGAUGACGACAAUGACAACAGAAAAAAAACGGAGAAGACUGUGAUAUGAUAUGCAACAUUUGGAUGAUGUUUUGUUGACAACGUGUUUUUCAUCCACCGAGGACGCGACACACAACGGUUGCGUAUUGUCUCCUUUUGAAAAUUUUAAGUGAACUUGGGGUAUUAGUACACGCUUUUGGGUCAAACAAUAGUUAUUCUAAAUAGUUACUUUAGAGUGGGGGUAUUCUUUUCUAACGAGAAAUAGCCAAAGGAAAGGUAAUAACGUGUUGAGAAAACAUAAGUUAGAUCGAAUAAACUUUUAAUUUAUACGCUUAUUAUUAGAGGGUCAUGUGAAGACAAUAUUCAAAUUUUUCAUCUUGUGGGUUAAUGACCCUAUUAUAAAAUUCAGAAAAUAAGAAAAAUUAAAAUAAUAUCAAAGUUUGAAGUUGCGCAUAGUUACUUGAAAGCAUUCUUGGCACCUUCCAACUAAAGCGCUGAAGGAUUAUUUCACCAUGAUUCCUAGAACACGUGAUGAAUUCCUAUUCUCAAAAUACAGCAUUGUAAUUAUUGCGUUCAAAUACCCAUUUUUUUUUUGCAAAUAAUAUUCGAAUCCAUAUUAAUUUCAAUUUAAAAAAAUGUAAUCCCAACUCAAUCUCAAUGCAUUGAAACUAGUGGAUUGAAUUCAGAUAUGUAUAGUACCAACAAGGUCAAAGGAGGAAUACAGCAACAGAAUACCUAGCAUUUCUCAUAGUCAAGCACAUCGUUGUCGAUUUGCAGAACAUACACUAUGUACACUGUAUUUACAGGUUUACAAGCAACUCAAAGAUGUUCAUUACUUUCUUCACACAAAUGCUUUCAUAAAUGAACCCGACAGUUUUGAGUAUUACGAGAGGUAGUCGAAAGCUACACAAUACGGUCGUUUUUUAUGCAAUCUACUAAGGAAUGGAAUAAAUGUAACUGGAGAUGGAAGCCAACAAAACGAGUGUGUGAGUGCGUGAGUGAAUGAGUGAGUGAGUGAGUCUGAAUGGGAUAUGCAAAGACUGACAAAUCGUAUAAAUCGCCCAACAAUCUCAUGCGGCUCCAACAGGGACGACGACGACGCUCGUGGGCCGGAGUGGGCAAAAUCGAGCAUUUCAUCAUCCUGUACUCAACUUUCACACCGAAGCUUCUCGAUGGUUGACUGACUCCAUUGCUGUCGUAUACUCACUCUCCCGUUUCCCGUCUCACUGCAGCAUUCUUGUCCUUUAUACUACUGCACAAUUCAGGCUUCGUGAAUCGUUUCUCUCACUGGCAAUAGCGCGGGGACUGUAUUUGUUGUCCAUCCAGCUUCGCAAGUCGGGAUUAAGUGUUUGUCGCCAUCACUACUGAUCGAUGUGUUUUUGUUGAGGUUUCGUGUCCGGAACAGCUAUUGUUUUGUGGAGGGCAUGAGGGGGUGGUGUUCGUGGGAGUGAUAUUUAUAUUUUUUUCUGUGAUGUAGAAGGAGUAGCGAGAAUGGACGUUAAGGGUCGUGCAGUGGUGGAUGUAUGAUAGGUGCGGCAAAUCAGAGGUGAGUGUUAGGGUUUUAACGGGAUUGGGGUGGAGACGUGGCGAAGGUGCCGAGAGUGGUGAUGGUAGUGCAUUGUGGAUUUUCACACUGUUCGGUUGAAGAACAAUCUCAGUUCCUUGUUGUGCCUCGGGUUUCGAAAGUCAGCAUGGGUUUGCGGUGUGACUGCAGAGGAGCAGCAGGAAUAGGAGAGGCUACUGCGUAUGCCUGAAUUCUGAUACAAAUCCUAGCGAGCGUAUCAGUUGAGCGAAUUGAGUUGGACAACGGGGGAGUUGCGGAACACGCUACGAGUUAGGCAUGGUCAAUUGAGACGCCGGAACUCGGCAUUCAGCAUUCCUCAUCCGUGAGAACUACUAUUGCACGUCUUCGCCACACGCAGGUUGAAUUUGAUUAUAUUCGUGCUUGUCGCAGACACUUUCUGAAGGUUGACACGCCUACUUUAUCCUAUCCUGAUUUUCAAAGAUAUCUGUAAGGCUUGCUAUUUUAAUAGUGAGAAGUCAAAGGUUAAGGUUUUUCAUUUUGUAACCAUAUUUUGUACGCAGAAUAUAUAUAUAUAUAUAUAUAUAUAUAUAUAAAUGUGUGUGUCAGCGAAGCACUUUCAAGCAAUGAACUCUCUAGGGGCUGGAGUAGGAGAAUUUAGACGUGAAGUUUCCAGAGAGGACAUCGCUACGCUUCUUGUCGUAGCUCGGCGUAAUUUGAAUGAAGGAAAUCCGGGAGGUGCCUUACAAGCAGUAAGUGGAGUUGUGAAGUUUGAUAAUGGUUCAAACGAAACUUGGAGCAUCUCAAAUUGCAUAGAUAUCUAGAUUCCACACUGUUUCAAGACUGCAAUUUUUGAUGCCCAUCGCAUGGUUGUUUCAAUCGUUAAUUAGUAAACUAUGAGAUUAUGUUAUGUUCAUUGUUAGGGCAGUGUUGUCAGGGCUGAAUUGAAAACAAAGGUUGGGAUUCUUCUUGUGGACUCGGUGCAAAGCUCACCUUUUAAAUACUGUCAGCCGGUCUUGUCUUAGCCAACGCUUUUGAAAGACAUACGGUUAUUGUGUGUUCUCAUUUGUACAUUCAUGUCAAAUCGUAGGUCGUUGCGGCCCUGCGCAGUGUAGGCGGGGAACAAGCAGUUACUACAGCAUUGCGAAGGGCUCGGGAAGUAUACGAGAAUAACGUUCGGAUUAACGAAGCUACGGACGAACUCACAACAUUAUUCGCCCAAUGUGCCAUUGCUACACUUCCUCCGAAUAGGACUUCAGACGCACCAGAGCCUAUGGCAGUAGAAACGACGUUGCAAGAGCGAAUAAUGCUUAGCAGUUUUGAUGUUGUUAGAAGUUCCAUUCUGGCCGAAAGUGGCAGGGAACAGGUGGUUUAUGAUGCUUCGGCUGAUGGCAGUAGCUUCUUGUGUCAACAGUGUGGUGGAGUUGUUAGCAAUUCACGGAGAGAUGAGCAUCUUUCUUAUUGGUGUUCUACUGCUUUUCGAAAUUGAAGUGUACUAGUGUUCAGCAACGAUAGGAAAAUUUUGAAGAUGUUUGAUGUUGGGGUGAGUAAGAAAGUGCGCAGGUGAAGCACAUAACGAUCAAUCAAAAAAACAAACUUUGGAUAGAUUUAGGUAGUUGAUGUAGUAUUUAGAGAACAUAAUUAAUAGAAAGCUGAGGAUUUCGACAAAUUCCUCUAUAUUGAAGAAUGCAAACUGCAACAGCUGCUCACCACAUUGUACAUCAUUACAAAUAUGGAUGAAAGCUGACAGAAGCGCUCUGCAAAUAUGAUCUUCGUCGUUGUUGGAAUUAUUCUGACGUUAUGAGUACAUUGUAGGUUCCUGAGUUGCUAUCUUGUGCAAGUGUGCGUGCAUGCUAAUGAAUGCGUAUUCAUUAACCUUGUAUGCUUUUUUCAUAUGGUAUAUGCUUGUAUGUUCUGGGGUUGCAUAGAUAUUAUUGUACUUCAUAUGAGACGGGUUGACAGAUCUUGUUCUAAGAAUUUCAACAUGCUUUCCUACACUGACAUUCUGAUAAAAGAAAUGAAAGUGUGCAUUAUUUGUUGCUGCGGACCCUCACACGUUGCUAGUUCAUCUUAAUUUUUUUCAUACGUGAUUGUUUUCAAAUUAAAGAGAUGUGAAUUUUAUCAACUUUGACAUUCUCCUAGAAAAAUAAUUGUGUAUAAAAACAAAUUCUUCUAACUCCAAUUGGGCAAAACAUGUGAACAUGUUCAUAAUUUUAAAAACAUCAACUAAUUUGAUGGUAGAAUGUAGAUCACAUUCUAAACCUGUAAGCAUUUAUAAAUUGACAUAAAUGGAUAAAUAAAUCUUUCUGAUUCAUCCUCAAUUGGCAGAAUGACAUUUAAUACUUUCAUACAAAACAUCAUUAAGAAGUUUCUAAGUAACCUGAUAACGAUUCAACUGUUGGAUGUUUAAAAACAUCUUAAAUUCGAUAUAAAGAUGUAAAGACAAUUAAUUUGAUACAAAUAUAUUAUAUUUAAAUAUGUUUCUUUUGAUACAGAUAACAAACAAUAUAAUGGCAGAUAUAUUAUGUAGAAAACACUUUUCUUUCAAAGAUGCAGUAAAAAAACCAAUUAAAUCAGAAACAAUAUAUCCACCAAAAACAAUCUACAACACUCGAGUUUAAAUACUAAAAUUUAUACAAUUUGAUAGAUACUAAUGACUCAUUCCAUGUUGGACGAAAUUUGACUUAAAUUUACAAAUAUAAUUAAAUUACCGAUAUAAUUCAAACCAAAGUCUAUCACCAAACUAACCUAAUCUAAAAAACAAACAAUACUUAAUAAUUCUGUCUAUAGAACCAAUCCUAAAAUUACAAACUUCUUCAUCAAAGUAACAAAAAGACUUAUUCUUAAAUCCUCUUGACAAAAGUUUAUUGUAUAAACCCCUACAGAAUUUGAAACCUAAGUAAAUUUAUAUCAGAUAGUAAAUAUAGACAUCGACACAAACGAAACCUUAGAAAUAUAAACAAAAAAAUAAUAAAAAAUUAUUCAAAAAACAUCCCACGAACAUUUGUAAAACCAAACAAGCAGACAUCAACUAUUCUAUAACAAUGGGUUUAUGCAACAGCAAAGAGGAACAAAAGAACAAUCUCAAUUCAACCCUUAAAAAGAGACAGCAGGACCAAAAAUAUUUCAAAUAGUAGUUGCACAAUUCAAGGGAGAAACAUCACCCCAUCAUAAAAGAAAACAUUUAAACACAUUCUCACCACCACUCAGCCUUCUAAUCACUGCGAAGAACAUCAAAACUUCAACCCCAACUUAAGCUCAAGCUCGAACGAUAAGAAACACAGAAUUCCAAGUUGUUCGAGUGUCCCUUUAUCCAAGGGGGACUUGUGAAUGUCAGAAGGACGAAUGAGGACCUGCGAGGCGCAUGCAGGAUGCGCACGGAGUUGUUGUGCCGCUUCGACAAAGUCCUCCGAACAGCCGGAACAACAUCGUACGUCAGGUUCGACACACCACCGUUAAGGGGUAAUGCGGUGCAGAUUACGAAAGCUACUUGGUAAGCAUGGGCGUUGAGUGUUCCAUCCGUUGGGGACGUUGAGCACAUCAGUGGCCCAUAUUAUUUGCAGGGGAAAGGAUACCUGAGGAUGUGAAUCGAACCCUAUAUAUGGUGUCCUUUCCGACCUAAUGCUCAGAGUGCGCCCGGCGGGUGAGAGCUGACGGCAGGACUGGGCGGGUUGUCUUGUGUGGAUCCAUCUCGGAGAUCAUGCGGCGGCGGAGUGUGUGUUUGUGCUUUCAGUUUCUUGUGUGCGAGGGCGUUGGAGGGUCCCUUCGCGUCCAGCUUAGUUGGGACCGAUCCUUGCAGGUCAUGGGAGUGUGCGAUGAGCGGGCGUUUUAGGGUUUUCCAUGUUUGUGUGCGUGCGGUGUUGUCGGAGGAUGCGAGGCAAGUAGACGUGGGAAUGCGUUGUGCGGAGAUGGUGUGGUGCGGGUGCGAGCUAUGAGGAUUUUUUAUUACCAGUAUAAGCCAGUUCUGCUACUGAGAUAUGUGAGUGAUAAACUGGUCAGAGACUGAGCUCUUGGGGUAGAGGGGUGGUAGUAUGUGGUGUGGCGGGGGAGCUUUUGUGAAGUUGAGCUGAGUCGAGGGAGGGGUGGGAGCUCUGAAUGUGACGGCACAUGAUUGCCAACGUGGUGGGUGUAGUACGGUUGGGAGUGGUUGAGUGGUAGCCCCCGGCGCCGGUGGAUCGAGUGAUGAGAUACAAACGCAAAUCUUAGGACACCUUCUUACAUGGCGAAUGCCGUGGAUGAGAGUGAAAGUUCUCUGACGAUUAUCCACUGUCAUGAAUAUCGAAUGAGUUGUUCUUUUGUCGGUGUGCUGCUGUGACGACUAACCGAAAUUAUACAUGUUAGACUAUGGAGAUGGCUUUGGUCAUCCGUGAAUAACAAGAAUGGAUCUGAGCAGAGUACUAGGUCCGCUGUGCGGGGGGGGGAGGGGGUGUGGACAUUCCGGGAACAGAAGGAUGGAGGUCUAUGCGAGCGUNNNNNNNNNNNNNNNNNNNNNNNNNNNNNNNNNNNNNNNNNNNNNNNNNNNNNNNNNNNNNNNNNNNNNNNNNNNNNNNNNNNNNNNNNNNNNNNNNNNNGAACGCAAUGAAAUGUUGUAUUGGGUGGACUAUCUUGUAUUUAUUCAUUGUCAAACAACUGAUAUCUGCUUUAAGAGUAAACAAAGGAGAAAUAUUUGUAUGAGAAGGGAAAUGAGCGACGUAGUAGUCACUCUUCAAUGCAGAUUAGAGUACAAAAAUGAUGUUGGUAAAAUGCAUCAUAGCCUCAAUUUCAUCAUAUGUACGAGUCAUACGAAGUAGCUCUUGUGGUAGCCGUCCAGAGACAAUGAUGCUUUUGGCCUGAUCAACAAAUUGUAAACUGUUUCUAACAUGACAUCCUCGAAUGAAGAAGCUUGUAGUUGAACUUACAAUAGUUACUUCAUAUGAAUAAUAUGAAUAAUAGUCUAAAAAUCGAAGUAACGUGUGAGAAAUGUCCGUCCAAUCUGUACAGUAAAGCUGCCAUCAUCAAACAAGUCUCCCAUUUCUGUCCUGUUUUCUCUUGUGGAUUAUCAACUUGAUGGACAUAUUUCUUAGAUUACUCCAUUCUCAAUGAGAUACAAUUCCUCCCUCUAUAAGUUGUAUUCUAUAAGUUGUAUUUACAGCUCUAUAACUUGACAAAGCAUAGAACUGAUUAUUAUUUUUUUAUCUUUCUUUUUGAGCAGUAUAAGAUAGUGGAUGCAUUGGGAAGAAGAUAAAAAUCCCAUGUUGUAGUACUAGACAAGGAUGAAGAAUUUGACGAGAAAGAAGUUUCAAAUGGAAGGUUGUGUCAAAAUAGGUCAGAACGGUUCGUUUGAUGUAGACCAUUGAAAAACCAAAACUUAUAUAUGGUAAUAUAAACAAUACAACAGUGGAAUAUGUCCACUUUGUUGUCAAACUUAAAUAUUGUCUUAUACUU